Molecule: ribosomal RNA, 492 nt
Filed under: uncultured bacterium
Lineage: Bacteria
Description: partial 16S ribosomal RNA
Rfam family: Bacterial small subunit ribosomal RNA
Source: RNAcentral
AGUGAACGCUGGCGGUAGGCCUAACACAUGCAAGUCGAACGGCAGCACAGUAAGAGCUUGCUCUUACGGGUGGCGAGUGGCGGACGGGUGAGGAAUACAUCGGACUCUACUUUUUCGUGGGGGAUAACGUAGGGAAACUUACGCUAAUACCGCAUACGCCCUACGGGUGAAAGCAGGGGAUCUUCGGACCUUGCGCGAUUGAAUGAGCCGCUGUCGGAUUAGCUAGUUGGCGGGGUAAAGGCCCACCAAGGCGACGAUCCGUAGCUGGUCUGAGAGGAUGAUCAGCCACACUGGAACUGAGACACGGUCCAGACUCCUACGGGAGGCAGCAGUGGGGAAUAUUGGACAAUGGGCGCAAGCCUGAUCCAGCCAUACCGCGUGGGUGAAGAAGGCCUUCGGGUUGUAAAGCCCUUUUGUUGGGAAAGAAAAGCAGCAGGUUAAUACCCCGCUGUUCUGACGGUACCCAAAGAAUAAGCACCGGCUAACUUCGUG